RNAcentral lists this ribosomal RNA (497 nucleotides) under uncultured bacterium. Its description in RNAcentral is "partial 16S ribosomal RNA". It matches the Rfam family "Bacterial small subunit ribosomal RNA", at positions 28 to 507 of the family's 1533-position model. The record is from RNAcentral.
GAUGAACGCUGGUGGCGUGCCCAAUACAUGCAAGUCGAGCGAACGGACGAGAAGCUUGCUUCUCUGAUGUUAGCGGCGGACGGGUGAGUAACACGUGGAUAACCUACCUAUAAGACUGGGAUAACUUCGGGAAACCGGAGCUAAUACCGGAUAAUAUUUUGAACCGCAUGGUUCAAAAGUGAAAGACGGUCUUGCUGUCACUUAUAGAUGGAUCCGCGCUGCAUUAGCUAGUUGGUAAGGUAACGGCUUACCAAGGCAACGAUGCAUAGCCGACCUGAGAGGGUGAUCGGCCACACUAGAACUGAGACACGGUCCAGACUCCUACGGGAGGCAGCAGUAGGGAAUCUUCCGCAAUGGGCGAAAGCCUGACGGAGCAACGCCGCGUGAGUGAUGAAGGUCUUCGGAUCGUAAAACUCUGUUAUUAGGGAAGAACAUAUGUGUAAGUAACUGUGCACAUCUUGACGGUACCUAAUCAGAAAGCCACGGCUAACUACGUG